This is a long non-coding RNA of Entelurus aequoreus (snake pipefish), 910 nucleotides long. RefSeq lists it as uncharacterized. Lineage: Eukaryota; Metazoa; Chordata; Actinopteri; Syngnathiformes; Syngnathidae. The record is from RefSeq and is a predicted model, not a curated record. The transcript is spliced from 4 exons.
UCGCUGAGGGGAAAUGAAUGGCUGGCUUGUUCAUUAAGACACCUGCUGAAUGAAGGAAACAUGAUGAAGGUAAAGACGUGAUGAGAAGUGACAACAUUGCACUCAUCAAAUGCAAAUUGUACACACUGCCAGCGGCCAGGAAGCAGCGACGCUGAACAUCCACUUUUAGGGCAAGUUCUGCCAGCACCUCUGUUGGCAGCACGCCAGGACACGCCCCUGCUCACGCUGGCCACAUCACGCCCACGUGCCGGCAAAGCUGCAGACAAUCACUGAUCAGCGCACCUGGGACCAAUGAGGGAGGACAGCAUAAAGACCAGCGGACCCGAUGAUCCUUUGCCGAAACGUAGUUUCACUCCCGUAUGCUUCCCGUGUCUCCCGUGAUAGAGCUGUAUGCCUCGACUCCCCUUUAGACUUUGGACUGCCUCCCUCGAUCCUCGACCCCCCUGUUGGACACGGACCCCUUUGGGCGCCUCACUAUAUUCCCCGACAAUCUGCCUGUCUCACGGACCUUCUUCUGCCUAGACAUGAUUACAUUUACGGAUUCCUUCCAUUCUGGAGCUGCAUGAAUUCCAGUGUCGAGGAUCUGGUGAAUGUUGCUUGCAGUGUGACCACAAGGAUGCAGAGAAUAACAGGCGGAAAUGCAAGUAAAACAAACUUUAUAAUCACAAGGAAGCAUGGAACAAACAAAAACAUCACACGAAGCAUCAGUCUCAAAAGUAGAAUGAUCCAGCACUGAAGGAGGGACCCAGGUAGAACUAAUUAAACGAGGAACAGGUAGGCUGACAGGACAUGGAACAGCUGGUAAAGAUGCUUCAAAACACAAAGACCAAACAGGAAACACUGACAAAACAAGAGCACCAGGACAGGAAGUGAUCCUAAACACAAAAACACAGGAAAACCCAAACAUAAC